CUCGAGCUCGUCGCGUGGCAGGGUUAAAGUUGAGCCCUCUCCGGAUCAGUGUGUUUGGGGUAAAUCACGCUUCACCUGCACGCGCCCAGACGCUUUUCUCUUCUUUUCAACGCAAAAAAAUCCCUCUGCUGUUGACAACGAAACGCACAACGUCUACAUGAUCCGGGCGACAAACUGCUGGAGAUUGUUUUCGGCGUGCACGAGUUUUUAUUCACAGGUCCUCUUUUGAAGGCAAGACGCAUCAGAAUUAUGACUCACCAGCAGAAGAAAUACUAAGGCUGGUUCACCUGUGGUGGUGAGUUUUGGUUAAGUCAGGGUGUGUAGAGGUGUGUGGGUGACCAGAACUUUUAACCCACCUGCGGCUGAGCGCUGUGACUCAUCCAGACUCACUGCUUUCUUCCGAUCUACUGUCACGUGAUGGACCUGAGCCAUAUUCACAGACCAGACUGUCAGCGUGCAGGACUCUUAUGAGCAGGACCGGUGUGGAGAAGCCAUGAUGCUGAGCGCUGGGACGAAGCUCCAGGAGAUUCACAGUGACAGCUGCCCAUCGGAGCAGACGACACACUCGCUCCUCUGAUGUUCGGACAGGUACAAGAGCGGCAAGGUCACUGCUGAACCGGACAGGUUUCCAGGACACGCCUCUCGUCUGCUAUUGGUCUCAGAUCAUCUGGAGGAAUCAGGCUGGAUGAGAUGUCAUCUGUUAUCUGCAGUCGCCACCUGCUGGUGCUUCAUUAGUUUCCUGAAGACCUCCGAAAAUAUUCAUGCUCCCACACAGUACAACUCAUUUUAGAUGCAUAAUAAAUACACUAUUGAAAAAGUGCCAAA
Molecule: long non-coding RNA, 825 nt
Organism: Carassius gibelio (silver crucian carp)
Lineage: Eukaryota; Metazoa; Chordata; Actinopteri; Cypriniformes; Cyprinidae
Exons: 6
Source: RefSeq, a predicted model, not a curated record